AGCUUCUUCAAUCAGAAAGGUUUUACUUAACGUGAAUUAAUAGGGAAUUGUGUGUGAAUCACAAACUGUCGCGCAACUGUAAGUAACACAUAAGUUUUUAUCAAUUAUGUCCACUGCCAAAAGCGGGAAGGGCGAUAAAAAUGUUACAAGUCAGGAGACCUGCCUUUAUUGAUUGUUUUUA
This 181-nucleotide non-coding RNA is filed under the name Flavihumibacter sp. Lineage: Bacteria; Pseudomonadati; Bacteroidota; Chitinophagia; Chitinophagales; Chitinophagaceae. The record is from RNAcentral.